UCCCCGUUCGUACAACGGCAGUACGCCCGGCUCUGGACCGGGAAAUCGUGGUUCGAAUCCACGGUGGGGAG
Molecule: transfer RNA, 71 nt
Filed under: Streptomyces iranensis
Lineage: Bacteria; Bacillati; Actinomycetota; Actinomycetes; Kitasatosporales; Streptomycetaceae
Description: tRNA-Gln
Rfam family: tRNA
About the family: Transfer RNA (tRNA) molecules are approximately 80 nucleotides in length. Their secondary structure includes four short double-helical elements and three loops (D, anti-codon, and T loops).
Source: RNAcentral